RNAcentral lists this ribosomal RNA (253 nucleotides) under uncultured bacterium. RNAcentral's name for it is "partial 16S ribosomal RNA". It matches the Rfam family "Bacterial small subunit ribosomal RNA", at positions 524 to 776 of the family's 1533-position model. The record is from RNAcentral.
UACGAAGGGGGCUAGCGUUGUUCGGAUUUACUGGGCGUAAAGCGCACGUAGGCGGAUCGUUAAGUCAGGGGUGAAAUCCCGGAGCUCAACUCCGGAACUGCCUUUGAUACUGGCGAUCUUGAGGCUGGAAGAGGUUAGUGGAAUUCCCAGUGUAGAGGUGAAAUUCGUAGAUAUUGGGAAGAACACCAGUGGCGAAGGCGGCUCACUGGCUCGAUACUGACGCUGAGGUGCGAAAGCGUGGGGAGCAAACAGG